CCCUUAGAUGUUCUGGGCCGCACGCGCGCUACACUGAUGCAUUCAACGAGUUUUUCCUGGUCCGAGAGGAAUGGGUAACCUUUUGAAAGUGCAUCGUGCUAGGGAUAGACUAUUGCAAUUAUUGGUCUUCAACGAGGAAUUCCUAGUAGACGUAGUUCAUCAGACUGCAUCGAUUACGUCCCUGCCCUUUGUACACACCGCCCGUCGCUCCUACCGAUUGAGUGGUCCGGUGAGGCUUUGGGAUCUGAGCGGAAAGAGCGUUUCGCUGUUUCUGCUCGGAAAACUCAGUCGAACCUUAUCAUUUAGAGGAAGGAGAAGUCGUAACA
This 326-nucleotide ribosomal RNA is filed under the name uncultured eukaryote. RNAcentral describes it as "partial 18S ribosomal RNA". It matches the Rfam family "Eukaryotic small subunit ribosomal RNA", at positions 1470 to 1796 of the family's 1831-position model. The record is from RNAcentral.